AGUGAACGCUGGCGGCGUGCCUAAUACAUGCAAGUCGAGCGAACAGACGAGGAGCUUGCUCCUUUGACGUUAGCGGCGGACGGGUGAGUAACACGUGGGUAACCUACCUAUAAGACUGGGAUAACUUCGGGAAACCGGAGCUAAUACCGGAUAAUAUUUCGAACCGCAUGGUUCGAUAGUGAAAGAUGGCUCUGCUAUCACUUAUAGAUGGACCUGCGCCGUAUUAGCUAGUUGGUAAGGUAACGGCUUAACAAGGCAACGAUCCGUAGCCGACCUGAGAGGGUGAUCGGCCACACUGGAACUGAGACACGGUCCAGACUCCUACGGGAGGCAGCAGUAGGGAAUCUUCCGCAAUGGGCGAAAGCCUGACGGAGCAACGCCGCGUGAGUGAUGAAGGUCUUCGGAUCGUAAAACUCUGUUAUUAGGGAAGAACAAACGUGUAAGUAACUGUGCACGUCUUGACGGUACCUAAUCAGAAAGCCACGGCUAACUACGUGCCAGCAGCCGCCGUAA
RNAcentral lists this ribosomal RNA (513 nucleotides) under uncultured bacterium. RNAcentral describes it as "partial 16S ribosomal RNA". It matches the Rfam family "Bacterial small subunit ribosomal RNA", at positions 29 to 523 of the family's 1533-position model. The record is from RNAcentral.